GACGAACGCUGGCGGCGUGCUUAACACAUGCAAGUCGAACGGAAAGGCCCCUUUGGGGGUACUCGAGUGGCGAACGGGUGAGUAACACGUGAGUAACCUGCCCUUGACUUCGGGAUAACUUCAGGAAACUGGGGCUAAUACCGGAUAGGAAUCCUUGCUGCAUGGUGGGGGUUGGAAAGCUUCGGCGGUUUUGGAUGGACUCGCGGCUUAUCAGCUUGUUGGUGGGGUAGUGGCUUACCAAGGCUUUGACGGGUAGCCGGCCUGAGAGGGCGACCGGCCACAUUGGGACUGAGAUACGGCCCAGGCUCCUACGGGAGGCAGCAGUGGGGAAUAUUGCACAAGGGGCGGAAGCCUGAUGCAGCAGCGCCGCGGGCGGGAUGACGGCCUUCGGGUUGUAAACCGCUUUCAGCAGGGGCGAAGCUUGUGGUGACGGUACCUGCAGAAGAAGCACCGGCUAACUACGUG
Molecule: ribosomal RNA, 465 nt
Filed under: uncultured bacterium
Lineage: Bacteria
Description: partial 16S ribosomal RNA
Rfam family: Bacterial small subunit ribosomal RNA
Source: RNAcentral